UACGUAGGUGGCAAGCGUUGUCCGGAAUUACUGGGUGUAAAGGGCGUGUAGGCGGGACUGCAAGUCAGAUGUGAAAUUCCCAGGCUCAACCUGGGGGCUGCAUCUGAAACUGUGGUUCUUGAGUGCUGGAGAGGAAAGCGGAAUUCCUAGUGUAGCGGUGAAAUGCGUAGAUAUUAGGAGGAACACCAGUGGCGAAGGCGGCUUUCUGGACAGUAACUGACGCUGAGGCGCGAAAGCGUGGGGAGCAAACAGG
Molecule: ribosomal RNA, 253 nt
Filed under: uncultured bacterium
Lineage: Bacteria
Description: partial 16S ribosomal RNA
Rfam family: Bacterial small subunit ribosomal RNA
Source: RNAcentral